RNAcentral lists this ribosomal RNA (292 nucleotides) under uncultured prokaryote. RNAcentral describes it as "partial 16S ribosomal RNA". It matches the Rfam family "Archaeal small subunit ribosomal RNA", at positions 455 to 747 of the family's 1478-position model. The record is from RNAcentral.
GUGUCGCCGCUGCGGUAAUACCGGCAACCCGAGUGAUGGCCGAUCUUAUUGGGCCUAAAGCGUCCGUAGCUGGCCGCACAAGUCCAUCGGAAAAUCCACCCGCCCAACGGGUGGGCGUCCGGUGGAAACUGUGUGGCUUGGGACCGGAAGGCGCGACGGGUACGUCCGGGGUAGGAGUGAAAUCCUGUAAUCCUGGACGGACCGCCGAUGGCGAAAGCACGUCGCGAGGACGGAUCCGACAGUGAGGGACGAAAGCCAGGGUCUCGAACCGGAUUAGAUACCCCUGUAGUCC